UUGAUGUUUGAUUUUGGCUUUUGAUUAUUAUAUAAUCUUUUAAGUUGCAUGAAAAUUUUUAUGUGUGUUAUACAAUCGUAAAUUUUUAUAUUUACCAGUAUUAUUGGAAUUUUAAGUUAUAAUAUUUUAGUUCUCAGCAUGUUCUAUUAUUGAGGUAAGUAUAUAUGAAAAUAUGAUUUAGAAAAGAUUUUAGGUCUAGUAAAUUUUGUGCCAGCAUCUGCGGUUAUACUUGGAGGACAAGUAAAAGUUUUCGGUUAAGGCUAGGCGAGUAAGAAAUUAAACUUUAAUUUAUUAUAAAUAAUAGAGGGUAAAAUUGAGUUAUUAUUUUAUAAAAUAAAUAAGUUUGAAGUUGAAGCUUGAAAAAUUUAAAUAAAAACUAGGAUUAGAUACCCUACUAUUUAAAAUUGAAAAUUAUUAGAGGAACCUGGUUAGUAGUAGUUAUUUACUUAAAAACUAAAAGAUUUGGCGGUAAUUUAAUCUUUCCAGAGGAACUUGUUUUUUAAUCGAUAAACCACGAAGUAUCUUACUUACUUUAGUUAUAUUAGUUUGUAUACCUUCAUUAUCAGGUAAUUUUUAAAGAAUAAAUUACUAAAAUUAUCAUUUACAAGAAAAUUAGAUCAUGGUGCAGCUUAUAAGUAAGUUAAAAUGAGUUACAAUAAAUUAUUUUAAAUGAAUUUAUAGUUUAAGUAUUAUAAUGAAGGUGGAUUUGGUUGUAUUAUGAGUUUAAUAAGCUCAUAAGAUAUAGGCUCUAAAUUAUGUACAUAUCGCCCGUCGCUUUCAUUUAUAAGUGAAAUAAGUCGUAACAUAGUAGAUGUACUGGAAAGUGCAUCUAGAAUUAU
This 839-nucleotide non-coding RNA is filed under the name Tubuca paradussumieri. Lineage: Eukaryota; Metazoa; Arthropoda; Malacostraca; Decapoda; Ocypodidae. The record is from RNAcentral.